GAUCCCUCGUGAUCUGUGAUUGCAGACGCACGAGAUCGCCGCAGCCGCUGCUCCUCCUCUCCCGGGACGCAGCCGCCACCGCCAAACCAGAGAGACGCCAGCGACCGUCGCUACCGUCCCGGAUCACCAGGAAGCCACCGCCGCCGUCGCGCCUCGGAUAUGUCGUGGAUCACUGGGACGUGGCCGUCGCGGAUCAGGAACACCAGGUCACCGCCGGCAGCGGCCCCUCGGAUACCGGCGACCGGCGGCGAUCUGAGACCAACGAGUCGGCACCACACCCCUGGGUGUCCAUGUUGAACGGAGACGCCGAUGGUUGCCCUUCAAGCACCAACAAAUUGGAAAUUCCAAGCCCUGCUGAGAUUACGAACAGAGUGGAAAGGGAAUCAACACCAUCACGCCAAAACAUUGAAGGAACAGGAACGACACAAGCAGCAACUCUCCAAACACAUUAGUUGUUGCUACUGAAGUUUAGAAGAAGUUCAGUGUGAUAUUAUUUCACGAUUCACAAAUGUGUUCAGAGAGUUGUUGCUUGUGUCGUUCCCCUUACUGGAGGAGGGCUCCACUUUGGCCAUUCGCCACUCUGCCUGCAAGCUCGAUGCCACAGUUUGACAGGGCCAAGGUGGUAGUAGCCGAUGACGAAUAUGGCGCCCUGGCUGUCUCUGUUCAUGAGAUUCCCGUAUGGUGGCCGAAUUUGUAUCACACCAGGCUGCUCCCCUCGUAUUGCAUAUCAGAGCUAGCUUAUAUUCAUCCAUAGGUCAUGGCUGGCUCCAAAAGCUUAUGCUACAUGAUAUUAUCAGGAACAGACGCAAUCGACAGUACUACAUUACUGCAGUCUGCACAUGUUGUGUUGAGGGGAGGAGUUGCUAGCAGUGGCGGAGCUACGCAGCCAAAGCUGGGCGGGCCGGCAUGAAGAAAGAUCACUAUUUUUUGUUCUCAUGAUCCAGUUUACUUUAAUCCUACACUGUAUUUGCUGUGGGAUGGUGGGCCAUGGCCAUUUUCGUAAUGCUUAGCUCUGCCAGUGGUUGCUAGCAUGCCAUAAUAUCGUGCUUCCCUUCUCUAUAAUCAUGCUCGUUUCAUGCAUUGCUUCACAUCACCAAAUUAUUGGUUCGACUGAGGUAUCAGGUAUGCAACUUUUAGACAAUGGAAGGCCUGUAUCUAAAGUUCUAAAGAAACACAUUAUGUGAGUUAACUAUGUAUUUGAUGAAUUUUCGUGUAAGCUUGGUAGUUCAGAAAAAUAUUUUGUUUCUUAUAUCAUGUGGUCAACACAAUGGAGAAACAGAAGAGAACAUUUAUCGUUUAGUUUAGUAAUAUCAUCUUUUAGGUUUUGUAAUUUUAUGUGUGUAGAAUGUUCCUAUAUUAAAUUUAUCAUUUUCAUAAAUAUACUAUGACUCUAAAUGUAGUUAAAGUUAUAGGUUUUCUUGGCCUAAUUCCAUCGCAUCAUUAACUGUUUGGUGUAUCCGCAGAAGCAUAAGGAUAAUUUUCCAAUAAAUCACUAGGCAUGUACUUCCAGGAAUUUGCAGGGAAUUUUACAUGAUUUUCGGCACAAAUCUGAAUUUGUCCAGAUCCCGACUCCUCAUGUCCUUCACACUCCUUGGAUUCACUGGAGUCUGGACACCGGAGGUGUGCAAAAGCCCCGGUGUCAGUUUGUUCAAAGAUGGAGUCAGAAGGAAGACCCUGUUUUCAAAUCUUAGCUCCGCCACUGAUAGGUGGGGUGCCGGCCGAGGAGGCAACAUCCACUUCUUCUGUGGACAAGGCCGGAGAUCCCGAGAGCAUCAGCAGAAUAGGAGGAGGAGGCAUAGGAGGCUGAGAGGGGUGACAUGGAGCAUGAGAUGGUGCCCUCGCUGCAAGAGAGGGAGCCCUGCCAAUAGUUGUUGUGGGCUUGUGGCACUGGCCACACGCAGCGCAUCACCAACCAUGAUCGUCCAGGCUGUGGCAUGGGGGUCGUGCUUGCUGCUGGUCCAAAGAUUCCCCCACCCUGAUGAUAAGGCCUCAUCCAUUCAAUUUUGACUCUGUAGACCACUAGCUUUUGGUAAGUGCAGCAUGCUCAAGUUUACUUUAUAGCUAUUUUCGUGUUCUGUAAUUCGGUGGUACAAGGUUGUGUGCACAAUACUGGUUUGCUGAAUCUUGGCCUAGAGGUGCUCUCAUUUUAGGCCAAAUACAGCUUAUUCUGAAAGCAUUGCAUCUUUUGGGGAAAUGCUCAUAGGUGGUUUUACUAUGACAGUAUGACCAUGCUUGUAAUGUCGGCUUGUCUUGCUAGGUGGGCUAAUUCAGUAGGCUUAUUCAAUGGCGAAUAGGUCCAUGUAUUAGGUGGGAUGAACAAGUGUUGGUUUGCAGCUGCUAUGUAUAUUUUUAUGGAUCAGAGGCAGUUAAUCUGUCAUUUGCCCCCUUUUGUUAAUUCAAGGCCUUAAGAUUAUGCUCUUAAAUGCAUACACAUGACUUACUUCCAGAUUUAAGAAGUGUGCAUUUUAAAAUGAACUUUAGAGCUGAUGUUGAUCAUAACCAGUACGUGUACAUAGCGGUGCAAAGGAUUUCUUGUUUUCUUCGUAUUGCAUACCAGUUGUUCAAUAUUUGUAUUUGUAGCAUAUUGCGGACUUGUAGUGAAGUAGUGCCUUCUAUGCACCAGAUGUUACUUAUUUUUAGAUAAGAUUUUCUUAAAAUGAAAAAUACUAAAAUGCACAUGUUGCUAAUAAUUUAUUGGUAUUCGAUGACUUCCUUAUCCAUAUUGUGAUUAGUUAUACUAUUUCUUACAGGUUAGAAGGUAUAGAUAAAUAAAUUUGAUUAUAUAUGGGAUAGAGACUAGAAAAAUAUAAGGCGUCAUAUGCAAGUUUUCUAAAAAAUCUUAGGAAUGCAUUGACUUCGGCCUCACACGGGGCAAGACAUGAACCUGAUGCCUGAUAGUUAUCGUCGCUGCACCUUUGCAACUGCUUCUGUUUUCUUGUAAUAUCCUACAUCGAAUGAGAGUUGUUACCAUGCACAUGUUGGUGAUGCAGGUUACAAUGCUACCACAAAGCAUGGUUAAGCCAUGGGUCACUUAUUGAUAAAUGAAGUUGAAGUCAAUUUUUGUGCAAAAUGAAAUAUAUAUUCUUCGAUUAAUGAUUUAGUAGAUAUUGAUUUAAACUGCUUAUAUUGAUUUUUGUGUUCAGGUUGAGAUAACUAGGGUAAUUUUCUAGCCAUACAAGUAAGAUAAUAUGCCUUGAGUAUUCAAACCAGGUAAUCAAUUUUUGCAACUUGAUAUUUGAUUCUUGCAAGGAAUAUUGUUGUUUGCCUGAUUAACGAGAUACUCAAGUCACUUUACAAAAAUGGUACGUCUUUGGAGGCCUUCAUAGGGAAAACUGCUGGCGUUGGCAUCGCUGUUGUCAGUUAUAAACGAAAUGAUCUUUAGCGUGAUGGAAAGUUAUCAGCUCUCGUGGUGAUCACUGAUGAUCUUUAGCAUUGCAUAGUGAGUAUGAGAUUGGACCUCCGUCUUUGGUACAAAUUUGGUUCCCGUCCGCCUAAGUAGUAGUAGAGGGAUCAUAUAAUGCUUAUUUGCAUUGUGCUUUCCCUUCUUUGGUGGAAAUUAAUUUCAUUUCCAUUACCAAAUUUGUACAGAAAAUGUAGAAUGCUAAUGGCAUAAUUACUUUUUCCUCCAGAGCAGAGUUUCUAAGCAAACAAAAAUGGCCACUUGUCCUGCAUAGUGCAUGCAGAGGAGAAAAGUAUGUGCUACCAUAUCCUGAUUGUCAAGAGUAAAUGUGUGUAUGGUUUUCACUUAAGGCAUUGUUCUGAAGUGUCUUUGCAACUUCAGAUUGUGAUUUUAGUGUUACUAUUUCUUACAUGUUAGAAGGUGCACAUUAUCUUUCUCAUCCCAUCUUUGCACAUUAGUUAUUAUCUAUAAUCAGAGAGUAAGAAAUGAAAUAUUUAUUUAUUUUUAGCAUCAAAAUGUUAAAUAUGCAUGACAUCAGAUCCAAUGCACAUAUCUAAAUUAAGACAAAUUUGUUUGAUCAGUGGAGAAUUGCAUACCUUUUUUUUAUUCUGUGCCAACACACGGGUAUUUAUCUAGGCGGAUAUAGACAAUGUGUUAUUUAAUGCAUUGUUAUUUAGUUGGCUAUAGUUGGCCGGUACUAAGUUCUAAAAAGCACCCUCCUCCAAGAGCCAAAUUUCUGUAAAAUUUAGAGUGAAUAAAUCUUUGUUCUAUAUGCAUGCAAUUUUUGGCAGCAUCUUUUAGUUUCUUUUACCGGGAGUGUUAGUUUCUUUUAGAAUUUAGAAAUGGUUGUUCAUGUGUUCCUUCUCACCAGAUCGGAGUUGAUUGGUUUGUUUGUUCCUUUUUAUCAGUCAUCUACCAUGUAAUGUUCUAUGUGAGUUUUUGUUUUAGUCCAAGGAUAUAUUUUCUCUCAUGUGCUUUAAUCAUAUGCACACAUGGUUGCGCAUUGGAGUGUGGGUGCAAUAUUAAAACCAGUCGAUCAUUCCUUUGUUUGUUCCUUUCUAUCAGUCAUAUACCAUGGAAUGUUCUAUAUGAGUUUUUGUUUUUGUCCAAGGAUAUAUUUUCUCUCAUGUGCUUUAAUCAUAUGCGCACAUGGUUGCGCAUUGGAGUGUGGGUGCAAUAUUAAAACCAGUCGAUCAUUCCUUUGUUUGUUCCUUUUUAUCAGUCAUCUACCAUGGAAUGUUCCAUAUGAGUUUUGGUUUAGUCCAAGGAUAUAUUUUCUCUCAUGUGCUUUAAUCAUAUGCGCACAUGGUUGCGCAUUGGAGUGUGGGUGCAAUAUUAAAACCAGUCGAUCAUUCCUUUUUAUGAUGAAUUUAAUAAAUUUUAUUUUGAAUGUAGUCUUAAGACAUCUAUUGUAUUUUUAGACUAAAAUUUUGAAUUGUAGGGUCUAUGUCAGUGAUGUGAAGCUUACCUGUUCUAUGAUGUUUUAACAACAGGCCAUCCAUGGUUGCUUGACAGGAAACAGAGAAGUAGCAGGAUGGGUAUAAUCAACUCAGCUGUUGGUUGCAUUGGGAGGUGGCAUGAACAAAGUAAAGGGGAAGAAAGCGAGCUUGGACACUAGGUGGUGGCACCAACCUGCAACUGUUUUGUUUCGGUCAAAGCAGGGGAGGGGUCAGGCAUGAACCAAACAGCUAUGGCUUAUUGCUUUGAGUCUUGCCGCACUAGGCAAGGUUAGAUCUUGUAAUGUCAUUUUCACGAUGCAAUGAUCAAGCUCUAAGAAAUUCUUGCGUACAUGUCUUUCAGUACUAUUUUUUCCCAUGGUUCAUCUGUGUAUGUCAUUUCCGUGAUGCGGUGAUUUUAAUAAUCUUGCUUAAAAUCGUUACUUAUUAGUUGUAACCAUUGUGGUCAAAUAAAGUUGGAAGCUUAAUCUUCAA
Molecule: long non-coding RNA, 5331 nt
Organism: Triticum aestivum (bread wheat)
Lineage: Eukaryota; Viridiplantae; Streptophyta; Magnoliopsida; Poales; Poaceae
Exons: 5
Source: RefSeq, a predicted model, not a curated record